AUCACCUGAGAAUCUUGUUAAAAUGCACAUUCUGAUUCAAUAGGUCUGGGGUGGGGCCUGAGAGUCUGCAUUUCUAAUAAGAUCCCAGGGGAUGCUGU
This 98-nucleotide microRNA precursor is filed under the name Canis lupus dingo (dingo). Its description in RNAcentral is "mir-544 microRNA precursor family". It matches the Rfam family "mir-544 microRNA precursor family". The record is from Rfam by way of RNAcentral. Lineage: Eukaryota; Metazoa; Chordata; Mammalia; Carnivora; Canidae.